GCUUCCUUGUCAGAUUGCUGCCUCUCCACAUCCUUUGACCAUGCCAAGACUGCCAUUCCUUCAUCCCUACUCUUUAUGCCCAAUCCAUCAGUGCAGUGCAGGUGCAAAGAGAUACCAACAGAAGGGAUGAACAGCCGUGGCCCACGCUGCCAUCCUCCGACCUGGACACCAGCAGGCACCUCCCAGCUGGUUUGCUGCCUCCCAUU
RNAcentral lists this long non-coding RNA (206 nucleotides) under Mustela putorius furo (domestic ferret). RNAcentral describes it as "lncRNA (ENSMPUG00000030182.1)". Lineage: Eukaryota; Metazoa; Chordata; Mammalia; Carnivora; Mustelidae. The record is from RNAcentral.